RNAcentral lists this unclassified non-coding RNA (1572 nucleotides) under uncultured fungus. RNAcentral describes it as "sequence contains 18S rRNA gene, ITS1, 5.8S rRNA gene, ITS2, 28S rRNA gene". The stretch from base 597 to 1572 matches the Rfam family "Eukaryotic large subunit ribosomal RNA", at positions 1 to 961 of the family's 3401-position model. Lineage: Eukaryota; Fungi. The record is from RNAcentral.
GGAAGGAUCACUAGAGAACACACGCUUCUUCGGAAGCUCUCUACCCUUUCACACACACCCUGUGCACCGUUGCCCGUGUCCCUGGCCCAUGCUUCGUUUGGUGCUGGGAUGCGCGGCUUUUCCAUACCUUUUUUUUGAAACGCAAGUGAAUGCAUGUAUAACCAUAUUCUAAAUCAAUAUAACUUUCAACAACGGAUCUCUAGGUUCUCGCAUCGAUGAAGAACGCAGCGAAUUGCGAUAAGUAAUGUGAAUUGCAGAAUUCAGUGAAUCAUCGAAUCUUUGAACGCAUCUUGCGCUCUCUGGUAUUCCGGAGAGCAUGCCUGUUUGAGUGUCAUGAAACUCUCACCCCUGCCCUUUCUUCACGGACUGGGUCCUGGGCGUGGACGUGAGCGUGUGCGGGUGCCCUGGCUGCAUCGGCUCGCUUGAAAAGCAUUAGCUGAAUCCUCGCGGGCGUGGUUCGACUCAACGUGAUAAGGAAUUCUCGUUGGGGACAGUGCCGUGUGUGUGAACCACAGACGGGCUGGCCACGGACGCGGGUGGAAUCGCUUCUAACCAGCACAGACUUCGGGAGCUGGCAACACUCUAUUUUGACCCUCUGGCCUCAAAUCAGGUAGGACUACCCGCUGAACUUAAGCAUAUCAAUAAGCGGAGGAAAAGAAACUAACAAGGAUUCCCCUAGUAACGGCGAGUGAAGCGGGAUGAGCUCAAAUUUAAAAUCUGGCAGCCUUCGGUUGUCCGAGUUGUAAUUUCGAGAAGCGUUUUCCGCGGCGGCCUGUGUACAAGUCCCUUGGAAUAGGGCGUCAUAGAGGGUGAGAGUCCCGUCCUUGACACAGACAACCGUUGCUUUGUGAUACGCUCUCCAUGAGUCGAGUUGUUUGGGAAUGCAGCUCAAAAUGGGUGGUAAAUUCCAUCUAAAGCUAAAUAUUGGCGAGAGACCGAUAGCGAACAAGUACCGUGAGGGAAAGAUGAAAAGCACUUUGGAAAGAGAGUCAAACAGUACGUGAAAUUGUUGAAAGGGAAACGAUUGAAGUCAGUCGUGCCUGCCUUGAUUCAGCCGGCCUUGUGCCGGUGUAUUUCUUGGCUGGGCAGGUCAGCAUCACUUUGGCAGAGUCGACAAGGGUCCAGGGAAUGUGGCAUCCUCGGAUGUGUUAUAGCCCUGGAUCGCAUUGGCUUUGGUGGAGUGAGGAACGCAGUGCGCCCGAAAGGGUGGGUCCGUUGGACACCUUCGCACUUAGGAUGCUGGCGUAAUGGCUUUAAACGACCCGUCUUGAAACACGGACCAAGGAGUCUAACAUGUUUGCGAGUCUUUGGGUGGCAAACCCAUGGGCGCAAUGAAAGUAAAUGCAGGUGGGAUCCGCAAGGAGCACCAUCGACCGAUCUGGAUCAUUUAUGUGAUGGAUUUGAGUAAGAGCACAUAUGUUGGGACCCGAAAGAUGGUGAACUAUGCCUGAAUAGGGCGAAGCCAGAGGAAACUCUGGUGGAGGCUCGUAGCGAUUCUGACGUGCAAAUCGAUCGUCAAAUUUGGGUAUAGGGGCGAAAGACUAAUCGAACCAUCUAGUAGCUGGUUCCUGC